UGCAAACUGGUUCUAGUGUAAAUAUUUUUUUCUCUCUCCAGACAAACACAAAAGUCAGAAAUAACAGUGAUUCUGAGAGCAGAAGGUCAAAGGUCACCUGAAGGGGAAAGCCAUUUUGCCAGGGAGAGAAGGAAGGAACGAUUCCUUGGCAGAGUGUGUACGUGUUGUAAUUUGAGAGUGCAAACUGAUGUGUUUUUGAAGCCUGGCAGUGACACAGAGGAGAUUUCGACUGAAGCUGCUGAUGGAUGAUAAUCAGGAGAUUGUGAUUUUCAAGGCCACAAAAAUCCACUCUAAUUCAUCUGUUUUUCCUGGAGGCUUCUGAAACUGAGGUCAGAAUGUCAUGGGACGUGACAGGCUUUUUCUUUUUUUUACUGAGGUUUAUACAAGUUCAUGGUUGCAGGGCGAGGCUAAAAUAACACCUGACAGUCUACUGCAAGCCAUUACAUUAUGAUGCCUCAUAACAAAUCCUACAACAUUGUACUGUCUGACAGGAUUAGAUUCAGAUAUAUGCAGAAAAUAUGCAGUUUAAUCCACAAAGGAGUGACUGAAGGAGUUUCACAACCUUUAUCCACAAGGCUUCUCCAGUUGCGACUGACUGAUAGGAAUUUCUGUGGAUUAGCAGAGCUCCUACACUUUCUAUUAAAAAUUGGCUGCCAUUCAGGAAGGGGGCAACAGAUGGUACCUUCUAUGAACAGGAGACAAUGGUAGAAAAGCUGAAAAAAGUUUUUACUUUUUGUGUCUGUAGCUAUAAUAGGUACAAAUAAACAAAACAGAAUUUCUGUCCUUUUGGCUUUUUUUUUUUUAAAGUUACCAUUGACCAUUGGCUUUUCUUACAGAAAAGCUGGUUUACCCAUAAAAUGCUAGCUGAAGCAUGCUAAUUGGUUUACAUUACGCAACAGCACAUGCAUAGUUGUGGUGGUUGUAGGUGUGACAGAAGUCUGGACAUGAAGUCCCCAGAGUGGUGCAUAUUAGCAGUAGAUUACACACGAUGUUAUAUGUGUCGUGGAAAGCAUGAAUUAAACUGUCUUGAUUGUAGACAACAUUAAUAUUAAGUGUAGUUAAGUUUCUUUACACCAACAGAAAAUAGGGUUUCACAGGUCCGGCCCACAUAAGAUCAAAGUGAGCUGUAUAUGGCCUGCCAUGUAAAAGGAGUUUGGCAUCCUUGCACUACGCAACAAGCAUCAAAGUUGGGUUAGAGUUAAAUAACCUUGUGACUGUAUUGCUUUGUUCUGUCUGGUGUUGUACUGUUACUUGUGAUUUUAUUUGGAAUCUUGCACUUUAUGCAGUCCUGUGUUGAUUGUCUAUGUAGCACCAUUGUCUUGGAUCAACGCUGUUUCAUUUCACUCUGUACUGUACCACAUUAAAAUGACAAUAAAGCCA
This is a long non-coding RNA of Oreochromis aureus, 1380 nucleotides long. Lineage: Eukaryota; Metazoa; Chordata; Actinopteri; Cichliformes; Cichlidae. The record is from Ensembl.